This 2901-nucleotide ribosomal RNA is filed under the name Proteus mirabilis. Its description in RNAcentral is "23S ribosomal RNA". It matches the Rfam family "Bacterial large subunit ribosomal RNA". The record is from RNAcentral. Lineage: Bacteria; Pseudomonadati; Pseudomonadota; Gammaproteobacteria; Enterobacterales; Morganellaceae.
GGUUAAGCGAAUAAGCGUACACGGUGGAUGCCUAGGCAAUCAGAGGCGAUGAAGGACGUGCUAAUCUGCGAAAAGCGUCGGUAAGGUGAUAUGAACCGUUAUACCCGACGAUAUCCGAAUGGGGAAACCCAGUAUCCAAUGGAUACUAUCAUUAACUGAAUCCAUAGGUUAAUGAGGCGAACCGGGAGAACUGAAACAUCUCAGUACCCCGAGGAAAAGAAAUCAACCGAGAUUCCCCUAGUAGCGGCGAGCGAACGGGGAGCAGCCCAGAGUCUUAAUCAAUAGCAGUGUCAGGAGAACGGUCUGGAAAGUCCGGCAGUAAAGGGUGAUAGCCCCGUAUCUGAAGAUGCUGUUAUUGUGAACUCGACGAGUAGGGCGGGACACGUGUUAUCCUGUCUGAAUAUGGGGGGACCAUCCUCCAAGGCUAAAUACUCCUGAUUGACCGAUAGUGAACCAGUACCGUGAGGGAAAGGCGAAAAGAACCCCGGCGAGGGGAGUGAAAAAGAACCUGAAACCGUGUACGUACAAGCAGUAGGAGCCUCUUUAUGGGGUGACUGCGUACCUUUUGUAUAAUGGGUCAGCGACUUAUAUUCUGUAGCAAGGUUAACCGUAUAGGGGAGCCGUAGGGAAACCGAGUCUUAACUGGGCGAAUGAGUUGCAGGGUAUAGACCCGAAACCCGGUGAUCUAUCCAUGGGCAGGUUGAAGGUUGGGUAACACUAACUGGAGGACCGAACCGACUAAUGUUGAAAAAUUAGCGGAUGACUUGUGGAUGGGGGUGAAAGGCCAAUCAAACCGGGAGAUAGCUGGUUCUCCCCGAAAGCUAUUUAGGUAGCGCCUCGUGAAUUCAUCUUCGGGGGUAGAGCACUGUUUCGACUAGGGGGUCAUCCCGACUUACCAACUCGAUGCAAACUGCGAAUACCGAAGAAUGUUAUCACGGGAGACACACGGCGGGUGCUAACGUCCGUCGUGAAGAGGGAAACAACCCAGACCGCCAGCUAAGGUCCCAAAGUCAUGGUUAAGUGGGAAACGAAGUGGGAAGGCUCAGACAGCCAGGAUGUUGGCUUAGAAGCAGCCAUCAUUUAAAGAAAGCGUAAUAGCUCACUGGUCGAGUCGGCCCGCGCGGAAGAUGUAACGGGGCUAAACCAUGCACCGAAGCUGCGGCAGCGACACAUAGUGUUGUUGGGUAGGGGAGCGUUCUGUAAGCCUGCGAAGGUGUACUGUGAGGUAUGCUGGAGGUAUCAGAAGUGCGAAUGCUGACAUAAGUAACGAUAAUGCGGGUGAAAAACCCGCACGCCGGAAGACCAAGGGUUCCUGUCCAACGUUAAUCGGGGCAGGGUGAGUCGACCCCUAAGGCGAGGCUGAAAAGCGUAGUCGAUGGGAAACGGGUUAAUAUUCCCGUACUGGUGGUAACUGCGAUGGGGGAACGGAGAAGGCUAGGUUGUCCGGGCGACGGUCGUCCCGGUUCAAGCAGGUAGGCAGAGUGAUUAGGCAAAUCCGGUCACUUAAUACUGAGAUGUGAUGACGAACCACCAAGGUGGUGAAGCAAUUGAUGCCCCGCUUCCAGGAAAAGCCUCUAAGCUUCAGGUUACCAACAAUCGUACCCCAAACCGACACAGGUGGUCAGGUAGAGAAUACUCAGGCGCUUGAGAGAACUCGGGUGAAGGAACUAGGCAAAAUGGUGCCGUAACUUCGGGAGAAGGCACGCUGGCGGUAAGUAAAGUCCCUCGCGGACAGAGCUGAAGCCAGUCGAAGAUACCAGCUGGCUGCAACUGUUUAUUAAAAACACAGCACUGUGCAAACACGAAAGUGGACGUAUACGGUGUGACGCCUGCCCGGUGCUGGAAGGUUAAUUGAUGGGGUUAGCGUAAGCGAAGCUCCUGAUCGAAGCCCCAGUAAACGGCGGCCGUAACUAUAACGGUCCUAAGGUAGCGAAAUUCCUUGUCGGGUAAGUUCCGACCUGCACGAAUGGCGUAAUGAUGGCCAGGCUGUCUCCACCCGAGACUCAGUGAAAUUGAACUCGCUGUGAAGAUGCAGUGUACCCGCGGCAAGACGGAAAGACCCCGUGAACCUUUACUAUAGCUUGACACUGAACAUUGAGCCUUGAUGUGUAGGAUAGGUGGGAGGCUUUGAAGUGUGGACGCCAGUCUGCAUGGAGCCAACCUUGAAAUACCACCCUUUAACGUUUGAUGUUCUAACCUAGGCCCAUAAACUGGGUCGGGGACCGUGUCUGGUGGGUAGUUUGACUGGGGCGGUCUCCUCCUAAAGAGUAACGGAGGAGCACGAAGGUUGGCUAAGCAUGGUCGGACAUCAUGCGGUUAGUGCAAAGGCAUAAGCCAGCUUGACUGCGAGAGUGACGGCUCGAGCAGGUACGAAAGUAGGUCUUAGUGAUCCGGUGGUUCUGAAUGGAAGGGCCAUCGCUCAACGGAUAAAAGGUACUCCGGGGAUAACAGGCUGAUACCGCCCAAGAGUUCAUAUCGACGGCGGUGUUUGGCACCUCGAUGUCGGCUCAUCACAUCCUGGGGCUGAAGUAGGUCCCAAGGGUAUGGCUGUUCGCCAUUUAAAGUGGUACGCGAGCUGGGUUUAGAACGUCGUGAGACAGUUCGGUCCCUAUCUGCCGUGGGCGUUGGAAGAUUGAGAGGGGUUGCUCCUAGUACGAGAGGACCGGAGUGAACGCACCACUGGUGUUCGGGUUGUCAUGCCAAUGGCAUUGCCCGGUAGCUAAGUGCGGAAGAGAUAACCGCUGAAAGCAUCUAAGCGGGAAACUUGCCUCGAGAUGAGUCUUCCCUGUCGCUUUAAGCGACCUAAAGGAACGUUUAAGACUAAGACGUUGAUAGGCUGGGUGUGUAAGCGUAGCGAUACGUUGAGCUAACCAGUACUAAUGAACCGUGAGGCUUAACCUG